RNAcentral lists this ribosomal RNA (435 nucleotides) under Triticum aestivum (bread wheat). RNAcentral describes it as "partial small subunit ribosomal RNA". Lineage: Eukaryota; Viridiplantae; Streptophyta; Magnoliopsida; Poales; Poaceae. The record is from RNAcentral.
AUGAGCCGGUGCGCUGCUGCUCUCCAACCCGGUCCGGUCGCACCAGCUCGCCCCCGCCGCACCAUUCCCCUCCCCUCCUCCUCUCCUAACUCGUUUCCUCCGUCGCCGCCGCCUGCGUCCCGGCUGCCGCACCGCCCCGCCGACGCCAUGGUUUUGGAGGACGAAAGCAGCGACGACCUGUCUAGCCUCCCGUACAUGCAUUCUUCCUCCACAGAUGGUCUCAACGAGGUCCCUUUCAGUCUUGAAGAUCCAGAUUACAAGGGGCUUGAGCUGGAUGUGAUGUCUCCAUGUGAGAAGCACGGCAUGGCAUCUGAGAGGCUUGUUGCCUUUGAAGGAACAGACACAGGCAGGCGGUUUUUAGCAUGUGCACAGCCGGCAGGUAGCAAUUGUGGCUUUGUUGAAUGGGUUGAUCACCAGUGGCCAAUGCAUUGUUGA